UCAGCAUAUCGUACCGAUUCGUGAAUAUCAGCAAUAUUCGUUUGGUUCGUAUCGAAUCGGCCAGAGUGAGUGAGCGCACGAUAGGGAUAUCAUGUGAUGAAUGAAACAGAAACAGGCAUUAUCCAUACAAUUGUAAACCUUAUAAUUAAGCCCAUAUGUCUGUAGAUUAUUCUUAGCGUAUCAGCAGGAUACAAUUUAGGAAAGAAGUUUCAACUUUCGACCCUAACUUGAAUGCAGUAUAGCCUAUUUGCAUCGUUGAAUUUAAUUUCAUGCGCUUUGACCUUGAACUAGAAUUUUUGGACAAGUGUUUAUAAAUACUUAAAAGUUUUUUGUGUUUGAUUUUUAAAGUACACAUUUUUCUAUUUUUAGUUGAAUCCCAAAAAUUGAGUUUAUUUCUUGUGUUUGUAUUAAACUUUUGAAAUCUACACUCUUUUGGUAUAUUUUGUAAUUUUAAAUUAAGACACAAAAUACUAAAAACUGAAAAUAAUGUAGCCAGUCCUAAGACUGGUAAAGAAAAAAAGGGGUGACGUCGAGUGUGAACACAAGUGUCUUCGAAGUUUCCCGGUGUUUUAAUUAAUAUUAUUUGUUUAAAUUGCUGUUGACUUGCGCUACUGAUUCGUGUUGGUGUUGGUAUAUAUCUGUUGUGCCGUGAGUGUAAAUAUAUUGUGUUUGUUAUAUUAUUAAAAGGUUAGUAAUUCAACAGUUGAUUACUUUGUAAAAUAAUAAUAAUUAAAAUUGAUGUGA
Bombyx mori (domestic silkworm) is the source of this 744-nucleotide long non-coding RNA. RefSeq lists it as uncharacterized. The transcript is spliced from 2 exons. The record is from RefSeq and is a predicted model, not a curated record. Lineage: Eukaryota; Metazoa; Arthropoda; Insecta; Lepidoptera; Bombycidae.